UAAUACGGAGGGUGCAAGCGUUAUCCGGAAUCACUGGGUUUAAAGGGUGCGUAGGCGGUUUGAUAAGUCAGUUGUGAAAUACCCCGGCUUAACCGGUGGUCGUGCGAUUGAUACUGUUGAACUUGAAUGAGGUUGAGGUAGGCGGAAUGUGGCAUGUAGCGGUGAAAUGCAUAGAUAUGCCAUAGAACACCGAUUGCGAAGGCAGCUUGCUGGGCCUGAAUUGACGCUGAGGCACGAAAGCGUGGGGAGCAAACAGG
RNAcentral lists this ribosomal RNA (257 nucleotides) under uncultured bacterium. RNAcentral's name for it is "partial 16S ribosomal RNA". It matches the Rfam family "Bacterial small subunit ribosomal RNA", at positions 521 to 776 of the family's 1533-position model. The record is from RNAcentral.